This 843-nucleotide long non-coding RNA is filed under the name Sinocyclocheilus grahami. RNAcentral's name for it is "lncRNA (ENSSGRG00000002713.1)". The record is from RNAcentral. Lineage: Eukaryota; Metazoa; Chordata; Actinopteri; Cypriniformes; Cyprinidae.
AUGUUCUCCCUCAAUUGGGUAUAAGACAACUAUUUGAGUUUUCUGUCACUCCUCGUGUACUAACUGAUUCUCGAAGUGUCAUCAAUGUCAUGCAGCAUGUUAAGGAUUGCCAGCUUCCUGCUUUCUUUGACCUCUUUUCCCCGAAAGUGCAGGUGCGCACAGAACAUUCAUGCUAAAUAACUUUAUCUAAAAGGUCCAAAACAUUGCUAAUGCUUCAGUUAUAUCAUUUUCUCCUGUCCAGGACAUCCCGCUCACACAAGAUGUAAAAGCAGCACUGAUUAAACAGAUAUUUGACAGAGCCAGCCUGUCUAAUCUAAGCAUCACUAAUCAGGAAGCUGUAGUCUGGAUCCAGAAGAGACUAAAUCCUCUGUUAGCCAACCUUUCAGAAAGCCUUGUGUCUCCAUAUUUCACCAUCCUCAACACGAGGGACUGCGAUAUCACUCAAACCGCACUGGGACUCUUAGAUGCUGCUCGACCUUCAUUACCCAUAAACACCAAAAAUGCAAUCUACAAUAGCAUUCUUCAAUCCUUCAUAGGGCCACAGCCUCUGAGGUGCUACAGAAACAACAGCUUUAUCAAGUUCUUAAACGAAAGCCUGUACAGCUUUGGGCCACUUCCAAAUCUGACCACCUUCCUCUCUCUGAUACCACCAACACGGAAAUCUGAGCUUGUGAAUUCUAUAGCUCCUUCUGAGCUGGGAAGCUACUUGAGACAGCCGGAAGUGGUGAACAACGAUUCACAAAUCUGUGUGAUCUUUAACAACUUUACCAAAACCCCUGAGUUCUUGGAGACCGUGAGUUUAAAAAAUAAAUAAUAAAAUGUUCAAAGCACAUUUAUGUAGAA